GUACAAGGCUAAAUAGGGCCCUGGGAUGAGGCACCUGUGACAGGGAGGGGUGCAAAACCAAGGAGUAGUCUAGCCAACUCCUUGGUUUUGCACCCCUCCCUGUCACAGGUGCCUCAUCCCAGGGCCCUAUUUAGCCUUGUACU
Molecule: microRNA precursor, 143 nt
Filed under: Pelobates cultripes (western spadefoot toad)
Lineage: Eukaryota; Metazoa; Chordata; Amphibia; Anura; Pelobatidae
Source: RNAcentral